This 372-nucleotide ribosomal RNA is filed under the name uncultured organism. RNAcentral's name for it is "bacterial SSU rRNA". It matches the Rfam family "Bacterial small subunit ribosomal RNA", at positions 526 to 897 of the family's 1533-position model. The record is from RNAcentral.
CGUAGGGUGCGAGCGUUAAUCGGAAUUACUGGGCGUAAAGCGUGCGCAGGCGGUUUUGUAAGACAGAUGUGAAAUCCCCGGGCUCAACCUGGGACCUGCAUUUGUGACUGCAAGGCUAGAGUACGGUAGAGGGGGAUGGAAUUCCGCGUGUAGCAGUGAAAUGCGUAGAUAUGCGGAGGAACACCGAUGGCGAAGGCAAUCCCCUGGACCUGUACUGACGCUCAUGCACGAAAGCGUGGGGAGCAAACAGGAUUAGAUACCCUGGUAGUCCACGCCCUAAACGAUGUCAACUGGUUGUUGGGUCUUUACUGACUCAGUAACGAAGCUAACGCGUGAAGUUGACCGCCUGGGGAGUACGGGCCGCAAGGUUGA